RNAcentral lists this ribosomal RNA (879 nucleotides) under Triticum aestivum (bread wheat). RNAcentral's name for it is "partial small subunit ribosomal RNA". Lineage: Eukaryota; Viridiplantae; Streptophyta; Magnoliopsida; Poales; Poaceae. The record is from RNAcentral.
AUGCCAGGUCACUGGAUCCGGGAUUGCCACAGGAGGAAAGCCGACGAGGCAGCCGCGGCAACGACAAACCUCGUCCAGGCUGACAUGGACGGCGGGCCGACAAUGAUGCUGGCAAGAGUCGAGCCCGUGCAGGAGAGCACAGCGUCUCUCGCGACCACGACUCCGACAACCACCCAUUCUGUGGAGGAGGCACGGAGCCCGUCCAUGGGAACCAUCACUCCAGUGACAGGCCACACCUCGACAACGACGUUUUCGGAGCUUGUCGACUGGGAGGCGAUGAAGGCUCGGGUGUGGGGGAGCCACACCCCGACGAGGGCGUCCCUGAAUUCGGGACCCGAUGAGAUCGCGCAGGUUGGCGCGGCAACGACGCAUAUGGCGGACCAUGCUCCGACCAUGAUGCUGGCGACCAUCGACUCCGUGCAGGAGCGCACGGAGUCUCAGGUCAGCCACGCCCCGACAACAAAGUGUUCGGGGUCCAUCGUGUUGACGGGAGAUGGCUCCCUGACAACGGCAUGUGUGUGCGGCUACGUCUUCCUCAACGAGGAGAGAGCCGUGACCACACCCAUGCUUGCAGGCGGCAAGCAAAGUGAGGGUUGGUUCCUCGACACCGGCGCCACGAACCACAUGACUGGUUCGAUCGACGCAUUCGCGGAGCUGGACCGCUCAAUCACCGGGAAGGUGCGGUUCGCGGACGGAUCCAUGGUGGAGAUCCACGGGCGCGGGACCGUCGUCUUCGCCGACAAAGGGGGUGAUCACAGGGCGUUCACGGAUGUCUACUUCAUCCCGGCGCUCACGAGCAGCAUCGUGAGUGUCGGACAGCUCGACGAGGGCUGGUUUGACAUCGGCAUCCGGCGCGGUGUUCUCACCGUGCGCGGCUAG